RNAcentral lists this small RNA (563 nucleotides) under Pongo abelii (Sumatran orangutan). RNAcentral's name for it is "retained intron". The stretch from base 498 to 563 matches the Rfam family "TTC28 antisense RNA 1 conserved region 2", at positions 1 to 66 of the family's 156-position model. Lineage: Eukaryota; Metazoa; Chordata; Mammalia; Primates; Hominidae. The record is from RNAcentral.
AGUCUUGUCUGCUUACGAGGGCUCCUCCCUUCAUCUUUGGUCCCUCGGGGCGUCUGGGCAGCCUACGCUUUCCGGUGAGUUUUCCAGUUGGUUCUUUGGAAGCCGUUUUGCGGUGACCGGUUUUCUGCUCUCUCUUGCUGCUCUGAGUCAGGGCCCACCUCCUUGACCGACACCUCACCUCUAUAGUCCACAUAAAAGACUCCUGACAGGUUCUGGAGGCAGCCGACGCCAGCUUCUGUUCCCCUCCCCAGCCCUUGGCAGCUCAGGUUCCGUGGAAGGACGUUCACCUGCUUCGCGGUCUUGUGGAGGUCCACCGGGGCGGAGAAUCCUAAACCUCACCUGUGACUCGGCAGGAUGAGCGGCCAGCACUCCCGACGAAGGCCCUCUGGGGGAAAAGAGGCGCUUGGCCUCGAGCCCAGGAAAGGGGCUAUUCAGGAGUUGGUUCGCGCAGUUACAGCGAAAGCGCCGUGAGCCUCAAAGCCGCAGGCCGGAGGAUAAAAAUGGCAGAAUGAAAGAAUUAUGAGUGGGACUAGAGAAUAGGAAAGACACGAACCAACGCCCAA